RNAcentral lists this ribosomal RNA (253 nucleotides) under uncultured bacterium. RNAcentral describes it as "partial 16S ribosomal RNA". It matches the Rfam family "Bacterial small subunit ribosomal RNA", at positions 524 to 776 of the family's 1533-position model. The record is from RNAcentral.
UACAGAGACUGCAAGCGUUAUUCGGAUUCACUGGGCGUAAAGGGUGCGCAGGUGGCCAAGUGUGUGAGGCGUGAAAGCCCGUUGCUCAACAGCGGAAUUGCACCUCAAACUACAUGGCUAGAGCAUUGGAGAGGGGAGCAGAAUUCACGGUGUAGCAGUGAAAUGCGUAGAUAUCGUGAGGAAUACCAGAGGCGAAGGCGGCUCCCUGGACAAUUGCUGACACUCAGGCACGAAAGCGUGGGGAGCAAAAGGG